AGUGAAUAGAUACCCCCGGGUAGUCCACGCUGUAAAACCGAUGAGUGCUGGACGUUGGCGGGUUUUACCUGCCGGUGUCGCAGCUAAAACGCGUUAAGCACUCCGCCUGGGGUAGUACGGCCGCAAGGUUAAAAACCUCAAAGGAAUUGACGGGGGUCCCGCACAAGCGGUGGAGCAUGUGGUUUAAAUUCGACGCAACGCGCAGAACCUUACCAGCCCUUGACAUGGGUCGGACGGGGUUCCAGAGAUGGACUCUUUCUCGCAAGAGACCGCUACACAGGUGCUGCGAUGGCUGUCGUCAGCUCGUGUCGU
Molecule: ribosomal RNA, 312 nt
Filed under: uncultured bacterium
Lineage: Bacteria
Description: bacterial SSU rRNA
Rfam family: Bacterial small subunit ribosomal RNA
Source: RNAcentral